CAUGGGAUUCAAUCCUUUUUUUCCUGACGAAAUUAACAAAAAAAACAAAAAAAAAAACACCUAACCCUAAAAUUAUUUCCGUCCCUCUUCAUCUCGGUGUUCUCCUAUCGAACCCCUAACUGGUAUUCUCUCUUUUUCUUCGUUGAUUUACCUUCAGGGUUUAAAGCUCAGCAUUCUACCGUUGCCAAGAAAUUAUUAACUUUUAAACCGUGGAUUCUGUUACAAGUACUUGGUCGUCCGUCGGAUCGAUGGUUUCCUGGUAAAGCUGUGUCCGAUUAAUUCUUUUCAUCGUUUAAUCAUACAAUAGCUAUCUGUUUUUUUCACGGCUAAAAAACAAAAUAAUUUUCCAUGAAAUCCAAGACAUGUAAAAGCAUCAAAAUUAUCCAGGAGAUUCAAGAACAUGGCAGUGGUUACGGUACACAAACGAGAACUCUUAACCAGCAGCUGUGCAGUAACAGAAAGAUCGUAGGCCUUACGGUACUAAAUCAAUAAAAGAUUCUUAGAGUAUUGGACAUAGUGCUGCUAUUACGGUAUUGAAUCAUCAAAGGGGUGGCAAUGCUCAGUGGUCUGUCAGCUGGUACGGAUUAGACAAGUGCAGAGUAUUGGACAUAGUGCUGCUAUUACGGUAUCGAAUCAUCAAAGGGGUGGCAAUGCUCAAUGGUCUUUCAGCUGGUACGGAUUAGACAAGUGCAGGUUUGUCGUAGUGAUGAUACCAUUUUCUUUGCAUAUCAUGAGGAUCUUUUUACUGGUUAGGGCUAAGAAGAGUAAAUUAGAGGUUUUGGGUUGUGAACCAGAAACAAGAAAGAAGAUUGUUUUGUUUAUUAGAGCUGAUCUUGAUCGAGUAAAAUCAAGCUUGGGUUUUCAGAAGAGGCACAAGACUGGAAUGGGUGGGAUCAUCAAAAGUUACUGACAAGGGAGUGCAUCAUCAGAAUUGAAGAUAAGACCUCAGAUUGGUCGUGUUUUUCUUUCUUUCUUUUUUUCCCGGAUGACCAUCUGGAUUUAUGACUUGAAGUGGAGAGGGACAUCAGGUUGUCAACUCAUGUGCACCCUGAAUGAGCACUAAGAGAAUGAAAUUGAUCAUGUAUAAGGUUUUAACUAAUUCGUUUGUUGUUUGCCAUCCCUAUGGCUCAUCUUUUCUCGCAGCUGGCAUGAUCGCAAACGGUAGAUACUAAAUCAACGAGUAUAGUUCGUCUUAUAUGUUAGCUUUUGCUGCAACAGAUUAUGUAAAACCAGAAGCAGAGAAAGUAUUUCAUUCCUUAAAUCAUAUACGAAAAUUACGCCCAUAAUGGUGACUGACGGCGAUAAUUGGACUACAUCAAAUGCUGAUGGAAUCAAAUAUUUGCAGGUAAUAUGGAAACAAAAUAGGAAUGACAUGGCACCAAAAGAGAGAAUUUCUAUGCAAUUUGGAGAGGAAAUUAAUAUAAUAGCCAAAUCUUUUCUUACAUGCUGGUGCAACAAGGUUCUUUUGUCUACAGACUUGAGCUCCUCGAACCGAGGAACGAUGCAGCAUCACCUUGAAGUCUCCCACCAAUUUGUCAGCUCUAUAACAUUACCAUCGCCUCUGCAUUCUAAUAUUUCUAUUUUGUUUCCAAAUUUAGUUGAUAAAAA
Papaver somniferum (opium poppy) is the source of this 1608-nucleotide long non-coding RNA. RefSeq lists it as uncharacterized. Lineage: Eukaryota; Viridiplantae; Streptophyta; Magnoliopsida; Ranunculales; Papaveraceae. The record is from RefSeq and is a predicted model, not a curated record. The transcript is spliced from 10 exons.